AUGCAAGUCGAACGAGGUAAGCUUUCGGGUGAGUACUAGUGGCGCACGGGUGAGUAACGCGUGAGUAAUCUUCCUUAGAGUGGGGGAUAACCAGUCGAAAGACUGGCUAAUACCGCAUAUGACCACAGGAUCUGCGGAUCCAGGGGUAAAAGGUUUUUCGCUCUAAGAUGAGCUCGCGUAAGAUUAGCUAGUUGGUGAGGUAACGGCUCACCAAGGCAACGAUCUUUAACAGGUCUGAGAGGAUGAUCUGUCACACUGGAACUGAGACACGGUCCAGACUCCUACGGGAGGCAGCAGUAGGGAAUAUUGCACAAUGGAGGAAACUCUGAUGCAGCGACGCCGCGUGAGUGAUGAAGGACUUCGGUUCGUAAAGCUCUGUCGUAUGGGAAUAAGAAAGUGAAUGUACCAUGCAAGAAAGGAUCGGCUAACUUCGUGCCAGCAGCCGCGGUAAGACGAGGGAUCCUAGCGUUGUUCGGAAUCAUUGGGCGUAAAGCGGAUGUAGGUGGCUUUGUAAGUCAGGUGUGAAAGCCCAGGGCUCAACCCUGGAAGUGCAUUUGAUACUGCGAAGCUUGAGUGCUGGAGAGGUUACUAGAAUACCUGGUGUAGUGGUGAAAUACGUAGAUAUCAGGUGGAAUACCGGAGGCGAAGGCGGGUAACCAGCCAGACACUGACACUCAGAUCCGAAAGUGUGGGGAUCAAACAGGAUUAGAUACCCUGGUAGUCCACACCGUAAACGAUGGAUACUUGUUGU
RNAcentral lists this ribosomal RNA (751 nucleotides) under uncultured delta proteobacterium. RNAcentral's name for it is "bacterial SSU rRNA". It matches the Rfam family "Bacterial small subunit ribosomal RNA", at positions 55 to 823 of the family's 1533-position model. The record is from RNAcentral. Lineage: Bacteria; Deltaproteobacteria.